GAUGAACGCUGGCGGUAUGCUUAAUACAUGCAAGUCGUACGAAGACUUUUAGUCUUAGUGGCGGACGGGUGAGUAACACGUGAGAAUCUGCCCUUAGGAGGAGGAUAACAGCUGGAAACGGUUGCUAAUACUCCAUAUGCCGAGAGGUGAAAGGAUGUAUCUGCCUAAGGAGGAGCUCGCGUCUGAUUAGCUAGUUGGUGGGGUAAUGGCCUACCAAGGCGACGAUCAGUAGCUGGUUUGAGAGGAUGAUCAGCCACACUGGGACUGAGGCACGGCCCAGACUCCUACGGGAGGCAGCAGUAGGGAAUUUUCCGCAAUGGGCGAAAGCCUGACGGAGCAAUACCGCGUGAGGGAUGACGGCCUGUGGGUUGUAAACCUCUUUUCUCAAGGAAGAAGUUCUGACGGUACUUGAGGAAUAAGCAUCGGCUAACUCUGUGCCAGCAGCCGCGGUAAUACAGAGGAUGCAAGCGUUAUCCGGAAUCACUGGGCAUAAAGCGUCUGUAGGUUGUUUAGUAAGUCUGCUGUUAAAGACUGGGGCUCAACCCCAGAAAAGCAGUGGAAACUGCUAGACUUGAGUGUGGUAGAGGUAGAGGGAAUUCCUAGUGUAGCGGUGAAAUGCGUAGAUAUUAGGAAGAACACCAAUGACGAAGGCACUCUACUGGGCCAUAACUGACACUCAGAGACGACAGCUAGGGGAGCAAAUGGGAUUAGAUACCCCAGUAGUCCUAGCCGUAAACGAUGGAUACUAGAUGUUGCACGUAUUAACCCGUGCAGUAUCGUAGCUAAGGCGUUAAGUAUCCCGCCUGGGAAGUACGCUCGCAAGAGUGAAACUCAAAGGAAUUGACGG
This 847-nucleotide ribosomal RNA is filed under the name uncultured phototrophic eukaryote. RNAcentral's name for it is "bacterial SSU rRNA". It matches the Rfam family "Bacterial small subunit ribosomal RNA", at positions 28 to 916 of the family's 1533-position model. The record is from RNAcentral.